GAACGGUUUGUCGGACAGUGUGAGGUGGGCGAGCGCCAUCUCCAUGGGCCGGUC
This 54-nucleotide small RNA is filed under the name Sinorhizobium meliloti 2011. Its description in RNAcentral is "putative ncRNA". The record is from RNAcentral. Lineage: Bacteria; Pseudomonadati; Pseudomonadota; Alphaproteobacteria; Hyphomicrobiales; Rhizobiaceae.